CAGGGCGGCCGGUGGGGCCUCAGGUAAAGGUAAAGAACUGUGGCAGGUGCGAGCAGUUUGCUGUCCUGCUUUCCCUGCUGUCACUGUACCGCGUGUGCUGACGUCACCCAAACACCGACGUCAUCCCAGCGCCCACUCUCAGACCCAAGACUUCUGCUGUGUCUCGAGUCGCGCCGGACCACUUGCAGAACCGAAAAGUGCUGACAGACAGGGCAAGGUGCUUGCUUCGCGCCUGUAGGCCUAGCCUUACAAAAGUCUGAGGCAGGAGGAUUGUCUUGAGUUGAGGCCCUGUCUCUGAAAUACAAACAAAGGCAACUACCAUCAACCCUGACGACCGAGUUCGAUCUUCGGGACCCAGAAGACCUGCAUUAGAUCCUCGGUAUCCACGCAGUCCUGAGUCUCAUGACUCCCAUGCAUGCACACAUAUGCACACACAAAAAAUGAGUAAGUAAAUGUAAAAACAAAAAAUUUAAGGGCUCAGUUACCCUGCAAGUAUGAGAACAUGAGUUCCACUCCCAGAAACCACACAAAGAUAAAAAGCCAGCCAGCCUUGAUGCUGUACACCUUUAUUCCCAGCACUCAGGAAACAGCAGGUGUGAAGUUGGCGUGGCUGAAAGCUAAAGAAAAUAACGCUUCUCCAGCGAGUUCCACCAGUUGAGAGAUUCCGCUGCUGCAGCAAGCAGUACAUGCUUGGCAUAAUGUGUGAGUGGUGAGGUGUGACCGCAGAGGCCACUAGCGUCUUGAUGGAGUGGCACAGAGGAGCUGCCAUCCAGCUGGUCCCUCAUGCUCAGAGGUCUUCCCCGGCUUUCUGGCUGUGCAAAUCUUGGUUCCUGCUGGUUUGUACCCACUCACUACAGACCACAAACCAUCAGAGAUGGCCGUGAAGAACAGAGGCAGCAGGGACAUUGCCCUUCUGCAUCACAGAGAUGUCGCUGGCAUUCACAAUAGCUUGUUUGCUUGUGCUCCCUUGCUACCUUUGGACUCACUGAGACCCACUUGCCUUGACCUCCUGAGUGCUGAGAUUAAAGGCAUGCAUCAUCAGGACUCAUCAAAAUAUUUGUCAUGAAACAAAGAUCAAGAUUAUCAGAUUGGGAAACUAAUA
Arvicola amphibius (Eurasian water vole) is the source of this 1102-nucleotide long non-coding RNA. RefSeq lists it as uncharacterized. NCBI's taxonomy places the organism in Eukaryota, Metazoa, Chordata, Mammalia, Rodentia, Cricetidae. The transcript has 3 exons. The record is from RefSeq and is a predicted model, not a curated record.